AGUAAGGAAUAUUGGUCAAUGGACGCAAGUCUGAACCAGCCAUGCCGCGUGGAGGAUGAAGGUCCUCUGGAUUGUAAACUUCUUUUAUCUGGGAAGAAAUGUCGAUUUUCUAAUUGGCUUGACGGUACCAGAUGAAUAAGCACCGGCUAACUCCGUGCCAGCAGCCGCGGUAAUACGGAGGGUGCAAGCGUUAUCCGGAUUCACUGGGUUUAAAGGGUGCGUAGGCGGAUUUUUAAGUCCGUGGUGAAAUCUCCGAGCUUAACUCGGAAACUGCCAUGGAUACUAUAAGUCUUGAAUGUUGUGGAGGUUUGCGGAAUAUGUCAUGUAGCGGUGAAAUGCUUAGAUAUGACAUAGAACACCGAUUGCGAAGGCAGCAGGCUACACAAAUAUUGACGCUGAGGCACGAAAGCGUGGGGAUCAAA
RNAcentral lists this ribosomal RNA (422 nucleotides) under uncultured Chitinophaga sp. RNAcentral's name for it is "bacterial SSU rRNA". It matches the Rfam family "Bacterial small subunit ribosomal RNA", at positions 353 to 772 of the family's 1533-position model. The record is from RNAcentral. Lineage: Bacteria; Pseudomonadati; Bacteroidota; Chitinophagia; Chitinophagales; Chitinophagaceae.